CUAAAUACUCCUGACUGACCGAUAGUGAACCAGUACCGUGAGGGAAAGGCGAAAAGAACCCCGGCGAGGGGAGUGAAAAAGAACCUGAAACCGUGUACGUACAAGCAGUGGGAGCCUCUUUAUGGGGUGACUGCGUACCUUUUGUAUAAUGGGUCAGCGACUUAUAUUCUGUAGCAAGGUUAACCGAAUAGGGGAGCCGAAGGGAAACCGAGUCUUAACUGGGCGUUAAGUUGCAGGGUAUAGACCCGAAACCCGGUGAUCUAGCCAUGGGCAGGUUGAAGGUUGGGUAACACUAACUGGAGGACCGAACCGACUAAUGUUGAAAAAUUAGCGGAUGACUUGUGGCUGGGGGUGAAAGGCCAAUCAAACCGGGAGAUAGCUGGUUCUCCCCGAAAGCUAUUUAGGUAGCGCCUCGUGAAUUCAUCUCCGGGGGUAGAGCACUGUUUCGGCAAGGGGGUCAUCCCGACUUACCAACCCGAUGCAAACUGCGAAUACCGGAGAAUGUUAUCACGGGAGACACACGGCGGGUGCUAACGUCCGUCGUGAAGAGGGAAACAACCCAGACCGCCAGCUAAGGUCCCAAAGUCAUGGUUAAGUGGGAAACGAUGUGGGAAGGCCCAGACAGCCAGGAUGUUGGCUUAGAAGCAGCCAUCAUUUAAAGAAAGCGUAAUAGCUCACUGGUCGAGUCGGCCUGCGCGGAAGAUGUAACGGGGCUAAACCAUGCACCGAAGCUGCGGCAGCGACACUAUGUGUUGUUGGGUAGGGGAGCGUUCUGUAAGCCUGUGAAGGUGGCCUGUGAGGGUUGCUGGAGGUAUCAGAAGUGCGAAUGCUGACAUAAGUAACGAUAAAGCGGGUGAAAAGCCCGCUCGCCGGAAGACCAAGGGUUCCUGUCCAACGUUAAUCGGGGCAGGGUGAGUCGACCCCUAAGGCGAGGCCGAAAGGCGUAGUCGAUGGGAAACAGGUUAAUAUUCCUGUACUUGGUGUUACUGCGAAGGGGGGACGGAGAAGGCUAUGUUGGCCGGGCGACGGUUGUCCCGGUUUAAGCGUGUAGGCUGGUUUUCCAGGCAAAUCCGGAAAACCAAGGCUGAGGCGUGAUGACGAGGCACUACGGUGCUGAAGCGACAAAUGCCCUGCUUCCAGGAAAAGCCUCUAAGCAUCAGGUAACAUCAAAUCGUACCCCAAACCGACACAGGUGGUCAGGUAGAGAAUACCAAGGCGCUUGAGAGAACUCGGGUGAAGGAACUAGGCAAAAUGGUGCCGUAACUUCGGGAGAAGGCACGCUGAUAUGUAGGUGAAGCGACUUGCUCGUGGAGCUGAAAUCAGUCGAAGAUACCAGCUGGCUGCAACUGUUUAUUAAAAACACAGCACUGUGCAAACACGAAAGUGGACGUAUACGGUGUGACGCCUGCCCGGUGCCGGAAGGUUAAUUGAUGGGGUUAGCGGUAACGCGAAGCUCUUGAUCGAAGCCCCGGUAAACGGCGGCCGUAACUAUAACGGUCCUAAGGUAGCGAAAUUCCUUGUCGGGUAAGUUCCGACCUGCACGAAUGGCGUAAUGAUGGCCAGGCUGUCUCCACCCGAGACUCAGUGAAAUUGAACUCGCUGUGAAGAUGCAGUGUACCCGCGGCAAGACGGAAAGACCCCGUGAACCUUUACUAUAGCUUGACACUGAACAUUGAGCCUUGAUGUGUAGGAUAGGUGGGAGGCUUUGAAGUGUGGACGCCAGUCUGCAUGGAGCCGACCUUGAAAUACCACCCUUUAAUGUUUGAUGUUCUAACGUUGGCCCGUAAUCCGGGUUGCGGACAGUGUCUGGUGGGUAGUUUGACUGGGGCGGUCUCCUCCUAAAGAGUAACGGAGGAGCACGAAGGUUGGCUAAUCCUGGUCGGACAUCAGGAGGUUAGUGCAAUGGCAUAAGCCAGCUUGACUGCGAGCGUGACGGCGCGAGCAGGUGCGAAAGCAGGUCAUAGUGAUCCGGUGGUUCUGAAUGGAAGGGCCAUCGCUCAACGGAUAAAAGGUACUCCGGGGAUAACAGGCUGAUACCGCCCAAGAGUUCAUAUCGACGGCGGUGUUUGGCACCUCGAUGUCGGCUCAUCACAUCCUGGGGCUGAAGUAGGUCCCAAGGGUAUGGCUGUUCGCCAUUUAAAGUGGUACGCGAGCUGGGUUUAGAACGUCGUGAGACAGUUCGGUCCCUAUCUGCCGUGGGCGCUGGAGAACUGAGGGGGGCUGCUCCUAGUACGAGAGGACCGGAGUGGACGCAUCACUGGUGUUCGGGUUGUCAUGCCAAUGGCACUGCCCGGUAGCUAAAUGCGGAAGAGAUAAGUGCUGAAAGCAUCUAAGCACGAAACUUGCCCCGAGAUGAGUUCUCCCUGACUCCUUGAGAGUCCUGAAGGAACGUUGAAGACGACGACGUUGAUAGGCCGGGUGUGUAAGCGCAGCGAUGCGUUGAGCUAACCGGUACUAAUGAACCGUGAGG
This 2470-nucleotide ribosomal RNA is filed under the name Escherichia coli. RNAcentral describes it as "partial 23S ribosomal RNA". It matches the Rfam family "Bacterial large subunit ribosomal RNA", at positions 466 to 2915 of the family's 2925-position model. Lineage: Bacteria; Pseudomonadati; Pseudomonadota; Gammaproteobacteria; Enterobacterales; Enterobacteriaceae. The record is from RNAcentral.